RNAcentral lists this long non-coding RNA (362 nucleotides) under Mytilus galloprovincialis (Mediterranean mussel). Lineage: Eukaryota; Metazoa; Mollusca; Bivalvia; Mytilida; Mytilidae. The record is from RNAcentral.
GGUUGGGGCAAGUAUGGACACAACAUUCAAGCUGGAUUUAGCUCUAAAUUUGGAUUGUGAUUAAAUAGUUGACACAGCAUAGGUUUCUGACACAGAAUGAAUGUGUUCUUAUGAAAUUAAAAUUUUUGUUUUCUCUUAGAGCAAUUCACUAUGCUGUUGAAUAUUAUUCCUCUCAAAAAAAUGUUUGAAGAAAUUUUCUUUUUAUUUAUGAAAUUUCAAAUGAGAAAAUUGAACCCAAUUUUUUUAAUCACAUCCCCCUUUCCCUUAUUCCAAAACUUAUCUCAAUUAAAAUUUCUAAUGGAGUUUGCAACAAUUACUACUCAUUUAAAUACAUCAUAAAAUAUUAAGAUGUAAAAAAAACU